This 76-nucleotide transfer RNA is filed under the name Burkholderia multivorans. RNAcentral's name for it is "tRNA-Phe". It matches the Rfam family "tRNA". From Rfam's summary of the family: Transfer RNA (tRNA) molecules are approximately 80 nucleotides in length. The record is from RNAcentral. Lineage: Bacteria; Pseudomonadati; Pseudomonadota; Betaproteobacteria; Burkholderiales; Burkholderiaceae.
GCCUCUCAAGCUAAUCAGGUGAAAGCGCUUGCUUGAAAAGCAAGAGAGUCUGGUUCGAUACCAGAGGGAGGCACCA